Molecule: ribosomal RNA, 500 nt
Filed under: uncultured bacterium
Lineage: Bacteria
Description: partial 16S ribosomal RNA
Rfam family: Bacterial small subunit ribosomal RNA
Source: RNAcentral
AUUGAACGCUGGCGGAAUGCUUUACACAUGCAGGUCGAACGGCAGCACGGACUUCGGUCUGGUGGCGAGUGGCGAACGGGUGAGUAAUGUAUCGGAACGUGCCCAGUCGUGGGGGAUAACGUAGUGAAAAUUACGCUAAUACCGCAUACGAUCUAUGGAUGAAAGCGGGGGAUCGCAAGACCUCGCGCGAUUGGAGCGGCCGAUAUCAGAUUAGGUAGUUGGUGGGGUGAAGGCCCACCAAGCCAACGAUCUGUAGCUGGUCUGAGAGGACGACCAGCCACACUGGAACUGAGACACGGUCCAGACUCCUACGGGAGGCAGCAGUGGGGAAUUUUGGACAAUGGGCGAAAGCCUGAUCCAGCCAUUCCGCGUGCAGGAUGAAGGCCCUCGGGUCGUAAACUGCUUUUGUACAGAACGAAAAGGUUUCUACUAAUACUAGGAGCUCAUGACGGUACUGUAAGAAUAAGCACCGGCUAACUACGUGCCAGCCGCCGCAGUAA